AAAAAUGAGGUAGAGUUGAUUUACAAUGUUAUAUAAGCGUCAGGUGUACAAUAUAGUGAUUCACAAUUUUUAAAGGUUAUACUCCAUUUAUAGUCAUUAUAAAAUACUGGCUCUACUCCCUGUGCUGUUACAAUAUAUCCUUGUCACCUAUUUUUUUUAUGUAUAUUAG
Non-coding RNA from Vicugna pacos (alpaca), 169 nucleotides. The record is from RefSeq and is a predicted model, not a curated record. NCBI's taxonomy places the organism in Eukaryota, Metazoa, Chordata, Mammalia, Artiodactyla, Camelidae.